Molecule: non-coding RNA, 207 nt
Organism: Vicia faba (fava bean)
Lineage: Eukaryota; Viridiplantae; Streptophyta; Magnoliopsida; Fabales; Fabaceae
Source: the annotation of a GenBank genome assembly
AUGGAUUUCAGUAAAAACAAGAAACUGGUGAAGAAAUUGGCAAAGAAGCACCAUGCUUUUUUUUUAGCUUCUGAAGCUGUUAUCAAGCAGAUUCCACGUUUGUUGGGUCCUGGUCUAAACAAGGCAGGAAAGUUUCCUACACUUGUUUCCCAACAAGAAUCUCUUGAAGCCAAGGUUAAGGAGACUAAGGCUAUCGAUGGAUGUUGA